Non-coding RNA from Operophtera brumata (winter moth), 47 nucleotides. The record is from Rfam. Lineage: Eukaryota; Metazoa; Arthropoda; Insecta; Lepidoptera; Geometridae.
CACAAGGCUCUUUUUAGAGCCACCAUGCCUCAAUCUGGAAAUAGCAG